RNAcentral lists this ribosomal RNA (945 nucleotides) under Bacillus amyloliquefaciens. Its description in RNAcentral is "bacterial SSU rRNA". It matches the Rfam family "Bacterial small subunit ribosomal RNA", at positions 43 to 971 of the family's 1533-position model. The record is from RNAcentral. Lineage: Bacteria; Bacillati; Bacillota; Bacilli; Caryophanales; Bacillaceae.
CGNNGCUAUACAUGCAGUCGAGCGGACAGAUGGGAGCUUGCUCCCUGAUGUUAGCGGCGGACGGGUGAGUAACACGUGGGUAACCUGCCUGUAAGACUGGGAUAACUCCGGGAAACCGGGGCUAAUACCGGAUGGUUGUUUGAACCGCAUGGUUCAGACAUAAAAGGUGGCUUCGGCUACCACUUACAGAUGGACCCGCGGCGCAUUAGCUAGUUGGUGAGGUAACGGCUCACCAAGGCGACGAUGCGUAGCCGACCUGAGAGGGUGAUCGGCCACACUGGGACUGAGACACGGCCCAGACUCCUACGGGAGGCAGCAGUAGGGAAUCUUCCGCAAUGGACGAAAGUCUGACGGAGCAACGCCGCGUGAGUGAUGAAGGUUUUCGGAUCGUAAAGCUCUGUUGUUAGGGAAGAACAAGUGCCGUUCAAAUAGGGCGGCACCUUGACGGUACCUAACCAGAAAGCCACGGCUAACUACGUGCCAGCAGCCGCGGUAAUACGUAGGUGGCAAGCGUUGUCCGGAAUUAUUGGGCGUAAAGGGCUCGCAGGCGGUUUCUUAAGUCUGAUGUGAAAGCCCCCGGCUCAACCGGGGAGGGUCAUUGGAAACUGGGGAACUUGAGUGCAGAAGAGGAGAGUGGAAUUCCACGUGUAGCGGUGAAAUGCGUAGAGAUGUGGAGGAACACCAGUGGCGAAGGCGACUCUCUGGUCUGUAACUGACGCUGAGGAGCGAAAGCGUGGGGAGCGAACAGGAUUAGAUACCCUGGUAGUCCACGCCGUAAACGAUGAGUGCUAAGUGUUAAGGGGUUUCCGCCCCUUAGUGCUGCAGCUAACGCAUUAAGCACUCCGCCUGGGGAGUACGGUCGCAAGACUGAAACUCAAAGGAAUUGACGGGGGCCCGCACAAGCGGUGGAGCAUGUGGUUUAAUUCGAAGCAACGCGAAGAACNU